RNAcentral lists this signal recognition particle RNA (295 nucleotides) under Callithrix jacchus (white-tufted-ear marmoset). RNAcentral's name for it is "Metazoan signal recognition particle RNA (ENSCJAG00000062643.2)". It matches the Rfam family "Metazoan signal recognition particle RNA". From Rfam's summary of the family: The signal recognition particle (SRP) is a universally conserved ribonucleoprotein. It is involved in the co-translational targeting of proteins to membranes. The record is from Rfam by way of RNAcentral. Lineage: Eukaryota; Metazoa; Chordata; Mammalia; Primates; Cebidae.
GCCGGGCGUGGUGGCACAUGCCUGUAGUCUCAGCUACUUGGGAGGCUGAGGUGGGAGGAUCGCUUGAGCCCAGGAGUUCUGGGCUGUAGUGCACUAUGCCGAUCAGGUGUCCUAAGUUCGGCAUCAGUAUGGUGACCUACUGGUCGGGGAAACCACCAGGUUGCCUAAGGAAGGGUGAAUCGGCCCAGGUCAGAAACAGAGCAGGUCAAAACUCCCAUGCUGAUCAGUAGUGGGAUCACGCCUGUGAAUAGCCACUGCACUCCGGCCUGAGCAACAUAGGGAGACCCUGUCCCUA